CCAGACUCCUACGGGAGGCAGCAGUGGGGAAUAUUGCGCAAUGGGCGAAAGCCUGACGCAGCGACGCCGCGUGAGGGAUGAAGGUCUUCGGAUCGUAAACCUCUAUCAGCAGGGAAGAAAAUGACGGUACCUGAGUAAGAAGCCCCGGCUAACUACGUGCCAGCAGCCGCGGUAAUACGUAGGGGGCAAGCGUUAUCCGGAUUUACUGGGUGUAAAGGGAGCGUAGACGGCCAGACAAGUCUGAAGUGAAAAUCCAGCGCUUAACGUUGGAAGUGCUUUGGAAACUGCCGGGCUAGAGUGCAGGAGGGGCAGGCGGAAUUCCUAGUGUAGCGGUGAAAUGCGUAGAUAUUAGGAGGAACACCAGUGGCGAAGGCGGCCUGCUGGACUGCAACUGACGUUGAGGCUCGAAGGCGUGGGGAGCAAACAGGAUUAGAUACCCGGGUACA
This 446-nucleotide ribosomal RNA is filed under the name uncultured bacterium. RNAcentral's name for it is "bacterial SSU rRNA". It matches the Rfam family "Bacterial small subunit ribosomal RNA", at positions 331 to 794 of the family's 1533-position model. The record is from RNAcentral.